Molecule: transfer RNA, 74 nt
Filed under: compost metagenome
Description: tRNA-Thr
Rfam family: tRNA
About the family: Transfer RNA (tRNA) molecules are approximately 80 nucleotides in length. Their secondary structure includes four short double-helical elements and three loops (D, anti-codon, and T loops).
Source: RNAcentral
GCCCCUGUCGUUCAGUGGCAGGACUCAUUCUUGGUACGAAUGGGACCCAGGUUCGAUUCCUGGUGGGGGCUCCA